RNAcentral lists this transfer RNA (72 nucleotides) under Neurospora sublineolata FGSC 5508. RNAcentral's name for it is "tRNA-Pro (CGG) (tRNA-Pro-CGG-2-1)". It matches the Rfam family "tRNA". From Rfam's summary of the family: Transfer RNA (tRNA) molecules are approximately 80 nucleotides in length. Their secondary structure includes four short double-helical elements and three loops (D, anti-codon, and T loops). Further hydrogen bonds mediate the characteristic L-shaped molecular structure. tRNAs have two regions of fundamental functional importance: the anti-codon, which is responsible for specific mRNA codon recognition, and the 3' end, to which the tRNAs corresponding amino acid is attached (by aminoacyl-tRNA synthetases). tRNAs cope with the degeneracy of the genetic code in two manners: having more than one tRNA (with a specific anti-codon) for a particular amino acid; and 'wobble' base-pairing, i.e. permitting non-standard base-pairing at the 3rd anti-codon position. Lineage: Eukaryota; Fungi; Ascomycota; Sordariomycetes; Sordariales; Sordariaceae. The record is from RNAcentral.
GCCUCAACGGUCUAGUGGUAUGAUUCGCGCUUCGGGUGUGCGAGGUCCUGGGCUCGAAUCCCAGUUGAGGCC